UCCCUGGUGGUCUAGUGGCUCGCAUGCGGCGCUCUCGCCACUGUGGCCCGGCUUCGAUUCACGGUCAGUAAA
Non-coding RNA from Pangasius djambal, 72 nucleotides. Lineage: Eukaryota; Metazoa; Chordata; Actinopteri; Siluriformes; Pangasiidae. The record is from the annotation of a GenBank genome assembly.